CAUGGAUGCUACAACUCGGAAAAAGAAAGCAGCCUUAGUGCUGUGAUUAGACUGCAUUUAUAAGACAUGAUUCAGACACCUAAAUUUAGGUGCGUGCACUGUAGGUGUCUAUGACAAGGCAGCUCUCUAUGGCACCAUUGUCAUACAGGUGAUUAAAAAGUUGAUUCAGUUUCCUGAAUCUUAGCUGUCCUGUGUCAUUUGAGAUUCUCGUUUGACAUUCUGUUGCUCAGUUCACAUGGAAUUUGUGGCCUGCUGCAAGGCAAAGAUCCCGCCAGAGACCAGGCAGGAUGUACUUGGGCUGGGACUUGAUUCAGCUGCUCAUGCACAGGCAUCUAUUACCAUCUGAGAUCCCUUCAGAAGUCCAAGAAGCACACAAGGCUGGAAGACAUGGCACACAGAAACUCUGUGAGCAGUUAGAUGCAUCCUGGCCUCCUCAGCUGGAUCUAGACACAACCAAAUAAUGUUGGCUUUGGCAAAACUUACAAGUGUGGAUGUUUAAAAUCUAAGUUUAUUUCCAGCAAAGCUGAGACUUUAGCUCCUAAAAAUUCCUCUGUCAGGUUUCUUCUCUGUGCUAUCCACACCGGUGAGGUACAGUCCCUCAGUAUCAAACAUAAAGCACACAGCUAGUUCUGAGAAGUUAAGCCAAACCUGCCAAGAGUGCAGUCUGGCAGAGAAGAACCUGCAAGGACAAGGCAAGACUGAAGUCAAGCUGGAAAACCAAGUGAGUCAGACAGGGUCAGAACCACCAAGGCAUCAGAGUGGCACAGACCUACCUACAGAUAGCUCAGGCAAAGACCAAGGGCCUUUAAUGCAACUCCCAAAUCAAGGAGGGGAAUGUUUUUGAAGAGAGUUAUCCCAGUUUUCCACAGAACUCUUUUCAUAGCACUUCAGCCCUAGAUUAGAUGGCUACACUGUAUCAGAGCUGGC
This 927-nucleotide long non-coding RNA is filed under the name Phasianus colchicus (ring-necked pheasant). RNAcentral's name for it is "lncRNA (ENSPCLG00000002358.1)". The record is from RNAcentral. Lineage: Eukaryota; Metazoa; Chordata; Aves; Galliformes; Phasianidae.